Molecule: non-coding RNA, 5912 nt
Organism: Microcebus murinus (gray mouse lemur)
Lineage: Eukaryota; Metazoa; Chordata; Mammalia; Primates; Cheirogaleidae
Source: RefSeq, a predicted model, not a curated record
CUGUGAGGUAGGCUGACGCCAUGGCACUGUAGCCCCGGCAACAGAGUGAGACUAUGUCUCAAAAAAGAAAACUUAGAGUAAAUGUUAAACAUGAAGGACAUUUGUCUCCCAGGGUUUCAUUUUGUUUGGGGGGAGAGUAGACUUUAUCACACUUGAAUGGUAUCCACAGCAUAGCAGAGACCUGGAUAGUCUCUAUAGUUUAAUCACAUUCUAAAUAUUCAACUUUAGAAAUAACCCCCAUUAAACACCCAGAUUAACAGGAAUUUCCCCAAACCAGCAGCCUUUAUUGCAGUGGCUGCUGCAUCUGUUAGGUUCAUGUUGUCUGUGCUUUCCCCCACCCAAGCUUCCGUUUCAUGAGCUUUUCACUGUUUUGCUCUACUUUUCCUUUCUCUUUUUAAAACCUCUACAUUGGCCACCCAGGACUUAUAAGAAACAUUUCCUGGUAACGUAUCUGAAACGGGAAUAAACUGCACAGGAGUGUGAGAGCCGUGAGCAUGUAUUUAAAAUCACUCUCCACGAGUAAAGGGUUCUUGUUCUUUUGACCCUGUGCCAAAAUAGAUCUUUUCUUUCUGUUGAAGAGAUUGAUAAGGUCUCUGGGGUGAGGGCAGAGGGGAUCACUAUUAUGUAGUGUGGUUGGUUUAAAUUAAAUUCUCACACCACUUUAUAGAUGCUAUUUUUCACUCAUCCUUGAUUUGGAGAUUAUAUUUAUAUCAUGCAAAUGGAUUCCUUACUCCUUUUCAAAACUGACAUUUAAAAAAAAUAUAUAAAACAUAUCACAUUAGUGAAAAUUUGCUUCCGAGUAGACAACACAGAUUAAACUUUUAUAUAUGGUCUUCAGAUUUAUCUUGAGUAUUCAAAAAUGAGAAAUAAAGGGGUUGGGGUCCCAGUAGUAAAGUGUUACCGUGCAAAGUGCGCUGUGUAAUAAACACGGAGGCGGAUUCAGUGGAUUUGUCUUAUUCUUCAGCUUCCAUUAAGUAGAAGCUUGUCUUUCCCUCCUCCCACCUUCGGGAGCUCCCCUUCCCUCCACUCCCACCCAAGUAGAAGCGCACGAACAGCCUGAGACUGAAGGACAGGCUUUCUAAAAUCUGGGGUAUUUUUUAGCAAAAUGUCUAUGAAAAUGAGGUCUGUCACCAUUAAUAUCCUUUAAGUUGAGAUAAAAGCAAUUUUUCUUUUUCAUAUUGCCCAGUUGUCAAGAAAUUCUAUUCUUUUCAAUGACAUAAAUUAACAGGUUUGGCUAAAGCCAAGAAAAAUACAAAAUGUCACAUUUUAGCCCUAGUGGCCGGUUUUCAAAGGGUGCGUUGGUGUGAACACCUUGUCAGCUGCUAGGUCUUAUAAAUAAGUAUUUUUCUGCCCCCAUCACAGACAAAUACCGAGAAGUUCUUUCUUCUCACAAGCCUAGGGGAUGAUGUUUUUGUUUUUGGUGUCUCUGUGCCUGGUAGGGAACAUGAUUUUUGUAUAUGAAAUUUGGGGACAAAUGAAAAUAACUCUUUCUCUUUCCUGGAAGGGUUAAUGCCCUAACUAGCUUCAGAUUGGUUCACAUGAAUCUUAAAAUUACUUUUCUGGUCACGCACACUGAAGGUCUAAGCAUUUGUGAAAUGUCUUUUUUCCCCCUCUUGAUGCUGUUCUCUUUCGGCUGUCUUAAUUACACAGGGGUUGAGAAACCAAAUUAAAAUUAGGCGUGUCUGGUAAACAGUGAUCACGUUGCAUGCUUUUAGCUUUGCUUGUUUGGAGUUACUUCUCCUCCCUCACUAGCUUCCCUCCUCACUUUUUUUAAAAAAGGAAAUAUCAUAAGCUCUUUUAGAAAUACUCACAGGAAGUGAGUAUCCACACGCUGGUUACUCACCAGUCACCGAGUGUUAGCAGGUGGCGAAUGCUACUGCAGCCCUCCCAGAUAGAUUUAAAAACUGCCCCCCGAGCAGAGGAUAAAACGCAGGGUGCGUAGACCAAAAGGUUUUUGUAUACGGAGGGAGUUGUGAGAGGAAGUUGGUCAUUGCCUGUCAUCUCGAGGGAUGGUGAUUCAGGGCGCUGUGGUGGAGUCAGGAGGCACGUGGCUGCCAUCGCUGAGGUUUCUGCAGUCAGAGAGCAGGCUGUCUUCUAAAAAUUAACGCUCCCUCCACCCCCAACAAUGAUUCUUUUGCAGUGAAUCACUUCCAGAAAUGAAUAGCCACAGUUUUUUGGAAUGAACAUUGUGAAAUCCCUCGUUUAUAAUGGCAGGUUUUCAGUUGGUGGUUUUAUCAGACAGAAUUUCUCAAGAACAAAACGAAACCUUCUCUUUUAAAAGAAAGAAAGUACUAUCGAUACAGAAACCAAAAGUAUUUCCAGUCUCCUGCCGGAGAACUGUCACGGCAGAUCUCUGUACCUAUACUUAGAGAUAUAUGUCCUUAUAUUUGCCUGAAUAUGUGAGUUCUUGGAAGUGUGGAUUCAAGGCCAGGAGCCGGUGAUUUCCUAUGCAGAAAGUCGCUAACUACAAGAAACGUUAUACUCGGACAAGUCCAGUCUGCACUUGAGGGUUCUUUGUGUGACUGACCGUUCAGCGACUUGCUUUCUACUAUAAGACAGUGUGGAAUACAACUAUGGCUUUUUCUGACCAUUUCUUUUACUGGCCAACCUCUUGGAUUUUAAUCCCAACUCUCAAGGAUCUUCCCAACACAUUAUGUUCCUGUUGUGAUACCAUCUUGAAGUGCACGAGCUUCUGGGUCACUAAAGAACAUGUUCAAUAUCACUUGGCUUAAAUGUUAUGCCUGCGAAUCACAAAUCGUUUUCUUCACCAGUCAGUUCCAGCCCACGUACCUGGACCAUAUCUUCCCCAUUGGCCAAUAAGCACGGCAUGCUCUGUGGCCCCGUAAUCAUUAACUUAGAAAUUGCAGCCGGUAUAACUUGACAGGACAGAGUUUUCUUCAGCAGACUGCUGAGUCACUCAACCUCUUGGUGAGUAAAACGUGAGUUUUUUGAGAUUUAAGCCCCUCGGAAGGACACCUCCUUGUUGCUGCCAUGAAGGGACUCCCAGUUUCUGUGGCAGGUCACAUCAGCAAGACAACUGAAGUAUCUGCUUGAACAAUCAGUUUUCAGAAAUGAAGACCUCUAUAACACUGGCUUCCUCUCUUGUGAUGUGGUGAAAGAUGCAUUCCAGCUGCGAAGUUAGACCGAGGAGAAGAGAAUGCAAAGUGGUUUCAAUUCUUCUCAAUUGCCUCUGCCUGAUUCCAAAGCAGUAAAGGAAGAUUGUACUUGCAGACUGGUGCUGCCCUCUGCAGGCCUCCUGUGGUAUGUUGCUGCUGCAGCGUGAGGUUGCAACACCAGUUUGAAAAUAGAAACCUCCUCCUGUCUUCUGUGCAGGGUGCUUUCAUGCUCUUUUUCUGUGGUUGGAUCUGUAGGUUUAUCCCAUGUUUUAUUUUAUAAGAUGUCUUGCUGAGCAAACCUUGCUGAUCUGCCUCAUGUCAGUGGAUGGUUUCGUUAGCAAUGGCCACACCUCACAUUUACCCCAGUACAGAGAGAACACCAGGGUGAGGAGGUGUGUGCUGCUCACUGUACAGCAACUUUCCCAACUUAUGUGCCUCAAGCAGGAAGAAGAGGGUGCUUUUUAUUUCUCAUUUUUUAAACGUGCAUCUGUUUAUGACACUAGUGGAGGAACGUGCUUAAGAGAAAACAACUGACUUUUACUUCUGCUCUUGCUCUGGGAGUUUUCCUAGGAGUUCUUGAUGCCAUUUAAAUUUCAAGUGCUGAUCUUCUGAACAAAUGCCUCCUGAGGAUCUCUGUGCCUGGAAAAUAUCCAUCAGCAGAUUGCCUUUACACUCCUAUUCAACGAGCUGUUGCCUCUUUGAUGAAAUGAUUGCUACACAUCCAUCGCCCUGGUGUUCUGUUCCCUCAUUUACAGAGAUGAAAAAACGAGUCUAGCAGCAACAGAUAUGUGUUGUGGAUGCUUCUCCACUAUAAAGGAUGAGUUUGUGCUGGGAUCUCCUUAUGAAGUGAAAACCAACCACACCUAUACGGAGGAAGAGCAUUAAUCAGACCCAAGCUAAACAGCCUGCACCUCCUGACCGAUGAGCACUGAAGCCACUUGAAAUGGUCAGUCACAGGCAUAUUGUAACGGGAUGUUCCUCCCAUACGCACAACAAGAUUUUAAAAUGAGGAAAGAUUUAAAAUGUCUGAGGAAAGCCAGAAGGAGAAACUAAAGGUCAGUUAAUUUAUUUAAGCAAAGAGAACAAACUUAAGUGAAUGGUACAGCUAGGAUUAGAACCCAUUUUUCACAAGGUAACAGUCUCAUGAUAAAGAAAAAGUGGGGAGUGUUUUAAGGUUAAGUAAGACCAAAGAGUCUUAGUGAGUCAACCUUGAUGUUACCUGGGUUCGAAAACCAAAACUAUAAAAGACAUUUUUUGGAGAGUGUGGGAAAAGUAUGAAUAUGGACUGGAUAUUGGAUGGUACUAAGGAAUUCCUAAUUGUCUUAGGUAUGAUAAGGUAUAAUUAUAUAGAAGAAUGGCCUCAUAUUUUUAGAAGUACCUCACUUUUUUUAAACUCACACUUAAGUAGUUAGGAGCAGUCUCUGGGUGGCUGUCAAAUUAUUUUAAAAUAAUUGAAUAAAAAAUAUACAUAUAUAUUAUAUAUAGUUACCAUAAUUAAGGCAAAAAGGAAUAAUUGUUGAAUUUAGGUGGUAUGAGUUAGGCAUUCAUUUUAUUGCCCUUCAAAUUUAUGUCUGAAAUUUUUCAUAACGGUUUUUUUAAAAAUGCACAUCCCUGUAGUUAGGUGGCCUGGCUACAUUAAAUAGCUUCCUGGAUUCCUAGAAGAUGAAAGGGAAUGACAGUAGGCUGCCUCGUAAGAUAUCAAGAACUAUACCAUGAGGGAGAGAAGAACUGUGGUAAAAAAUAAUUUGUUAAGGAGAACUAAGAGUACAAAGCCUUACCUUUGGCGUAGACACGGGAGGAGAAUCUUAAGUAAACCUAACAGAAAUCCCUAACUCAUAAAUGCAAUUUAAGGAAUUCCAUUCUGGAAAAAAAUUAGCAUCUCACUAGUAUUAAUGUGUUACUUUGCCUCUGAGCUAGUCCUCCAUAGACCCCAAAAUCUCAGUACUCUUUUGAUCCAACAAAAUUGUCCCUAAUGGAAAGUAACAGGGUUGGGAAAGUACUAGGGUUAGGAAUGCAUUUUCUUCAACUUAUACCCAAACACUCACUUCCUUUGCACCAUUUGCAUGUAUGUUGUGAGGUUUUUAAGCACCAUUUCUAGUUGUCCUCCACCUGCCUGGGUACUUGAUCACAGGAUGCCUCAGGCUUCUCCUGCCAUUGCAUCUUUAUCCACGCAAAGGAUUUUCCUUGACUUCCCACCAGGAGUAACAGGGUUAAUGCCUGCCCUCGCCUCUAAAGGGUAAAACCGAACAUUUGUCUGGGCAACCCAAGAACAAGGAGAGUCCUGCGCGUGGCCCCCCUCCCCCCGGAAACAACACCAAAUUUGGUGAUGUCAGUAUAUGAAUAUAUGAAAUUUGCUCAAGCUCUGUCUGUUUAGACCACUAAGUAAAUAACUUACAACCAGGUUUCAGCUUUCCUUUCUAGGUUGCCUUGAGUUUAUUGUAAGACAGCAUUCUAAAGAAAGAACAGAUCAUAAAGCUUCUUCAGGAAGCUGGUUUCAUAUGGUGGUUUAGAUUUAAAUAGUGAUUGUCUAGCACCAUUUGAAAUCAGUGUUCUUGGGGGAGACCAACUGCGCUGCCAGCGACAAAGAAAUGAAUGGGACAGCCCUGAAGUAUUUGAAAGCAAAGACCAAACGGCUGUGAGAACUUGCCUUACGUGUGUAGCCAACCCAUUCCUUAUUCCCGCCAACAGUGGUGUUAUAUCGAACAAAUUACGGUCAGCCCUCUGCAUCUGUGGAUUCAACCAACCAUGAUAGAAAGUAUUUUUAAAAAAAUAUGUUUGUACUGAACAUGUACAGGC